UCCCUCUAUCCCCAACG
RNAcentral lists this transfer RNA (17 nucleotides) under Ctenitis bivestita. RNAcentral's name for it is "partial tRNA-Leu". The record is from RNAcentral. Lineage: Eukaryota; Viridiplantae; Streptophyta; Polypodiopsida; Polypodiales; Dryopteridaceae.